CUCGCACGCCGCCACCGCUCGCCCUUGCGCUGCCUCCGCCUCAGCUCGCCCUCGCGCCGCCGCCGCCGCCGCCUCCGCCUCCACUCGCCCUCGUCUCUCCUCAUCAGGAGGAGCGCGGCUCACCGCCGUCCCUCGCAAGAGAGGUCAGGGUUAGGGUCUCGGCCCGGGGUGGCUACUGCGGAGCUCCUGGCGGGCUACCUCCUCUGCCUGCUCGCGCUCGCGGCGGCCAAGGCGACCACACUGCUCUGGGUCACGCGUCGUCGCUCCGCUCCACGACGCCACGCCGCUCCCCCGCGCCUCCUCCCGGUCCUCCAGGUCCACUCUCCCGCGCAGCUCCCCCGCUCCUUCCUCCCAGUCCUAAAAUCCUUUCUUCCCCCCCAUGAGCGCAGGAAGAAGAGGAUGCAGACGAAGCAAGGCUUUGGCAUUCCGUUCCACCAAGUUCUUCCAGCAUGAGGUACACAAAGAUGAUGAGGUCAGAGCCUUGUUUAAGCAAGUGCAAGGAGAAGUCCCUGGAUUGCCUAUAAUUGUUAUGAAGGUGGCAUCUCAGAGAUGACAUCUAGAGGAUCAGUUGCUCUGUGACAAGCAUGGCAACGUGGCAUCACUGCAAAGUCGAGACUGUAGUGUUCAAAGAAGGCACCAAAAGCUGAAUUAGGGAAGGAUGCCGAAGUUACAUGUACACAACCCUUAUUCUGCUAACUAUGGCUCUCUUUUGGAGAUCGCUUGCCUUUUGGAAGUUGUUGGCCUUUGGUUACCCCAAGAGGAAUUUUUAUGGCUUGCUUCAUGGGCCGUAGCUCCUCCCUCCCUAGCCCCACUUUGUCUCCCCUGUGAUUUGCCUGUUCCUGAUCUUGGUGGCUGGCAUGUCUCAAAUUUUCAUUGGGCAGGGCUACUAACGUAAAGGAGCAAACUGGAAAUUCCACCUGCAUAUUUUAGGGUUCUUGCGGAUCAUGCUGGUCAUUCCUGGGCGCUGGAGUGGGCCAACUUCCUGACGAUGGGCAAGAUGGAGCUGAUCGGCUGCUCGGUGGUGACCAUGAGGUGAGGCGUGGUGCCAGCGGCAGCGGGUGCAGGAAGCAGCAACAUUAGAGAUGGGCGACGAGGCACACUGUUCACUCCCUCUGAAGGAAGAAUUGAUGUAGUAGCUAGCAUUCAUUUUUAGAUACUAUGCAUCUUUCUGAUUUUUUUGGCAGUAGAACGCUAUGUAUCUCUAAACAUCUGCAGUAGAGAGCUAUGUAUCUGUAAACAUUAAAGAUUGUUGCAUCAAAGAGCAGUAGCACCUCCUUGUCA
Molecule: long non-coding RNA, 1281 nt
Organism: Triticum dicoccoides
Lineage: Eukaryota; Viridiplantae; Streptophyta; Magnoliopsida; Poales; Poaceae
Exons: 5
Source: RefSeq, a predicted model, not a curated record